GAUGAACGCUAGCUACAGGCUUAACACAUGCAAGUCGAGGGGCAGCAUGGUCUUAGCUUGCUAAGGCCGAUGGCGACCGGCGCACGGGUGAGUAACACGUAUCCAACCUGCCGUCUACUCUUGGACAGCCUUCUGAAAGGAAGAUUAAUACAAGAUGGCAUCAUGAGUCCGCAUGUUCACAUGAUUAAAGGUAUUCCGGUAGACGAUGGGGAUGCGUUCCAUUAGAUAGUAGGCGGGGUAACGGCCCACCUAGUCUUCGAUGGAUAGGGGUUCUGAGAGGAAGGUCCCCCACAUUGGAACUGAGACACGGUCCAAACUCCUACGGGAGGCAGCAGUGAGGAAUAUUGGUCAAUGGGCGAGAGCCUGAACCAGCCAAGUAGCGUGAAGGAUGACUGCCCUAUGGGUUGUAAACUUCUUUUAUAAAGGAAUAAAGUCGGGUAUGGAUACCCGUUUGCAUGUACUUUAUGAAUAAGGAUCGGCUAACUCCGUGCCAGCAGCCGCGGUAAUACGGAGGAUCCGAGCGUUAUCCGGAUUUAUUGGGUUUAAAGGGAGCGUAGAUGGAUGUUUAAGUCAGUUGUGAAAGUUUGCGGCUCAACCGUAAAAUUGCAGUUGAUACUGGAUAUCUUGAGUGCAGUUGAGGCAGGCGGAAUUCGUGGUGUAGCGGUGAAAUGCUUAGAUAUCACGAAGAACUCCGAUUGCGAAGGCAGCCUGCUAAGCUGCAACUGACAUUGAGGCUCGAAAGUGUGGGUAUCAAACAGGAUUAGAUACCCUGGUAGUCCACACGGUAAACGAUGAAUACUCGCUGUUUGCGAUAUACUGCAAGCGGCCAAGCGAAAGCGUUAAGUAUUCCACCUGGGGAGUACGCCGGCAACGGUGAAACUCAAAGGAAUUGACGGGGGCCCGCACAAGCGGAGGAACAUGUGGUUUAAUUCGAUGAUACGCGAGGAACCUUACCCGGGCUUAAAUUGCAGAUGAAUUAUGGUGAAAGCUGUAAGCCGCAAGGCAUCUGUGAAGGUGCUGCAUGGUUGUCGUCAGCUCGUGCCGUGAGGUGUCGGCUUAAGUGCCAUAACGAGCGCAACCCUUGUUGUCAGUUACUAACAGGUUCCGGUGAGGACUCUGACAAGACUGCCAUCGUAAGAUGUGAGGAAGGUGGGGAUGACGUCAAAUCAGCACGGCCCUUACGUCCGGGGCUACACACGUGUUACAAUGGGGGGUACAGAGGGCCGCUACCACGCGAGUGGGUGCCAAUCCCCAAAACCUCUCUCAGUUCGGACUGGAGUCUGCAACCCGACUCCACGAAGCUGGAUUCGCUAGUAAUCGCGCAUCAGCCACCGGCGCGGUGAAUACGUUCCCGGGCCUUGUACACACCGCCCGUCAAGCCAUGGGAGCCGGGGGUACCUGAAGUGCGUAACCGCGAGGAG
RNAcentral lists this ribosomal RNA (1421 nucleotides) under uncultured bacterium. RNAcentral describes it as "16S ribosomal RNA". It matches the Rfam family "Bacterial small subunit ribosomal RNA". The record is from RNAcentral.